Asparagus officinalis (garden asparagus) is the source of this 2158-nucleotide long non-coding RNA. RefSeq lists it as uncharacterized. The transcript is spliced from 9 exons. The record is from RefSeq and is a predicted model, not a curated record. NCBI's taxonomy places the organism in Eukaryota, Viridiplantae, Streptophyta, Magnoliopsida, Asparagales, Asparagaceae.
AGCCCGUCUGACCGCAACCAAACCUCUUUCUCUCUCCUCUCUCUCUCUCUCUCAAAAAUGAAAUCCCUAAAAUCGCUGAAAUCGUCUCCAAAAUUUUCCGAUCCCUAAAAUCGCCGUGGCCAAGAUCUCGUCGCUGUUUUCGCAUCGGAUCUCAUCUCCAAGCUCCUCUCCGAUCUCUCCGAUCUCGUCGCCGUUGGUUUCGUCGUCGAGCUAGUCCCCGUUUUCUAGGGUUUGCCAUUCUCUCCAAUCUCUCCGAUCUCAUCUUCGAGCUACUAAUCUCGUCGUCAUGCUACUCUCGUUGCCAUUCCAGUCUUGUUCGUCAUCGUCAAGCUACUAAUCUCACCGUCAAGGUGCUGCGGAUAACGUCGUCAAGCUACUAAUCUCGUCGAUCCCUGAGUCAUCAACUUACGGACGCAAGAGGGUUGGCACGCGCAAGACCCUUGUGUUCUAUAAAGGAAGGGCUCCUCACGGUCAGAAGUCUGAUUGGAUUAUGCAUGAGUAUAGGCUGGAUGAGUCCAACUCUCCGUCCUAUGUACAAGUUGCCAACACGAUGGGAGAAGCAAAUAAUCAAGAAGACGGAUGGGUGGUUUGCCAAGUCUUCAAGAAGAAGAAUCUCCUGCACAAGUCCUCCGACAGCCCAAACAACAGCACCCCAUCCAUCACCGUCGAUGCCAAAACUCACUUCCUCCUCCAUUCCCAGAGCGACAGCGCCCUGGAUCAAAUCCUACAGUACAUGGGGAGAUCUUUCCAAUUAAAUCUCAAGGACUACUUUUUAGUUCUACCAUUUUGAGUGUUCAUAAUGUCUAUCUCCAUUUCAGGCACUGCAGAGGACUCUUGAAUUUGAGGAAGAAUUGGCAGAGAAAUUUGGACCAUGGAACUUCGCUUCUAUAUACACAUAUGCUACUUCUCUAUCUGCGAGUCCUAUAUUGUUGAUGGUUUUCUAGUUAUAGUUUAUGCUAUAAAUAGUAGCAUGUAUACCACCAAAAUGGGAUCAGGUUCGUAACGCCCCUUGAUUUGGGAGCGAAAGGAAGCUGUCAAAUUGGUGGAAACAUAUCAACAAAUGCGGGAGGCUUGCACUUUAUACGCUAUGGAUCACUUCAUGGAAAUAUUCUUGUACCAUUUUGCUCAGGCAUGUACCCAUGAUUGUUCAGCUUGGAGGCUCGCUUUCACGAAUGGGCAAUUAAGGCCUCGAAGUUGUCCUAGCUGAUGGAACCAUUCUUGACAUGCUUACAACUUUACGCAAAGCCAAUACAUGAUACGACUUGAAGCACUUAUUCAAAGCCAAGAUAAGUUACUGAAUCUUCAAGAAAAUAAGGUAUCUGAACACUCUGACGUCAGUUACUGGCCUUAUGAUCAGCAUAGUAAACCUUGUUCUAUAAGGCAAAAAUAUAGAAGAUAAUGAUUAUAUUAAUCAAGUAAUAAAGGAAUUCUCUGUAUGCAAAGUAAAAAUGCCACUGGCAACAGAUUAUCAUAUAAGUAACAUCAGGGAGAUGAUAAUGUGUGCGUGCAUGCGUGUGGUUGUGCGUGUGUGUGUCUGCAUCUGCGUGUUCAUGUGCAUGUGCUUGAGAUGAUGAUAUGUGUGCCAUUGUAGUAUUUUGGGGAUUAUGCCUGGAGUUUGAUAUUCUACAUACCUCCUGUAGUAAAUGUGCAGACCAUCAAGUUCUUAGCUUAUUGUCUAAUAAUUGUCGAUUGUACGAUCUUUAAUAUAGUUGGGGGAUCCCGACUAAAUUUACAGCGCACUGGCAAGUGGGGGAGCUGAUAAUAUUUGCACAACAUCAUGCAACCCUAGCUCUGAAAUUGUGGCACAAAAUAUUUGAUUGCAUAACAUGAAUUGUCAUUUGAAUGAAAAGCAAAAGGGCUUGUUUGAUGGAGACCCUUAGCAAUCUGUAGCCAUCUAUUUUACUCAAAUGGAAGGUUUUGAUGCAGGUACAGAAAUGAUGAAAGCCAAGAUUGAGAUUGAUACUGACAGGUUCCUAGUGAGUAUUUGACAUUGAGGAACAAGUUUUUGGAAACAAAUAGAGAAUAUAGUCUUUGACCGAGAAGUUUCAUGUUUUGUAAUCAAAUGUUGAUGUACAAUGUUUGAAUGUUAGUUCGGUACGAUAUUUUCUGAGUUGAAAUGUUGGUAGUGUGGAUUUAAUACUUUGUAGUUUUUAUACUA